Molecule: ribosomal RNA, 490 nt
Filed under: uncultured bacterium
Lineage: Bacteria
Description: partial 16S ribosomal RNA
Rfam family: Bacterial small subunit ribosomal RNA
Source: RNAcentral
AUUGAACGCUGGCGGCAGGCCUAACACAUGCAAGUCGAACGGUAACAGGAAACAGCUUGCUGUUUCGCUGACGAGUGGCGGACGGGUGAGUAAUGUCUGGGAAACUGCCUGAUGGAGGGGGAUAACUACUGGAAACGGUAGCUAAUACCGCAUAACGGCGCAAGACCAAAGAGGGGGACCUUCGGGCCUCUUGCCAGCGGAUGUGCCCAGAUGGGAUUAGCUAGUAGGUGGGGUAACGGCUCACCUAGGCGACGAUCCCUAGCUGGUCUGAGAGGAUGACCAGCCACACUGGAACUGAGACACGGUCCAGACUCCUACGGGAGGCAGCAGUGGGGAAUAUUGCACAAUGGGCGCAAGCCUGAUGCAGCCAUGCCGCGUGUAUGAAGAAGGCCUUCGGGUUGUAAAGUACUUUCAGCGGGGAGGAAGGGAGUAAAGUUAAUACCUUGGCUCAUUGACGUUACCCGCAGAAGAAGCACCGGCUAACUCCGUG